GUGGGGAAUAUUGGACAAUGGGCGAAAGCCUGAUCCAGCCAUGCCGCGUGUGUGAAGAAGGUCUUCGGAUUGUAAAGCACUUUAAGUUGGGAGGAAGGGCAGUAAGUUAAUACCUUGCUGUUUUGAUGUUACCGACAGAAUAAGCACCGGCUAACUUCGUGCCAGCAGCCGCGGUAAUACGAAGGGUGCAAGCGUUAAUCGGAAUUACUGGGCGUAAAGCGCGCGUAGGUGGUUUUGUAAGUUGGAGGUGAAAUCCCCGGGCUCAACCUGGGAACUGCCUCCAAAACUGCAUGACUAGAGUACGGUAGAGGGUAGUGGAAUUUCCUGUGUAGCGGUGAAAUGCGUAGAUAUAGGAAGGAACACCAGUGGCGAAGGCGACUACCUGGACUGAUACUGACACUGAGGUGCGAAAGCGUGGGGAGCAAACAGGAUUAGAUACCCGAGUAGUCC
Molecule: ribosomal RNA, 450 nt
Filed under: uncultured bacterium
Lineage: Bacteria
Description: partial 16S ribosomal RNA
Rfam family: Bacterial small subunit ribosomal RNA
Source: RNAcentral